CAUGUUUGGAAUUCUUAUAUACUGCCGGUAUUUUUAUCAUAGCAAUACGAUACACUCAAGAUAUAAUAACAAAAAUAAAACAACUUUGAGUGUGUUUUAAGUUGGGUAAAAAGUUUCACUCAAACUAUCUACAUAUAGAUUUUUCACUCUGUACUGUAUUUUGAACUUAGACAGAACCAGAAGCAGAAGCAGCAGAUGAUAUCGUUGAAGGGUAUGGUUGGGGGCAGAAGUAAAAGCAGCAGGAGGUGAACAUGGACAGACACCCACACUUAUUUUUAUAUUUUUUUGUAUGAUAUGAAAGCUUUUUAGGAUUUUUCAAUUUUUAACAACAACAACGUCAAAAAAGAGGAAAAAUGAAACUGGGACGAAAGUUAAAGGAAGGAAAUUAAAAUAUAAUCCCUCCUUUCAAAUGUAUCUUGUUUUUGGUGUGCUGCCUUUGCCUAUGCAGAGGAAGACAGAAUGUCAUUGAUUGCAACCAACAUUGACAACAAAACGACUACGAAAAACAUAGGUACAAUAUCUAUCAUAAAAAAGAGGAUAAAUUUAUAGGGGAUCUAAGUACCUAUUGAAAUGCUUUUUCAAGUUCAACAUGUUCUUACAAUUCAAUACUAAAAUUCAACAAAAGUACGUAUCUACCUACCUCAUAUGUACCUACGGAUGGGUCAAGUAGGUAGGUAUACUUACUACUUAGGCACCAUAAGUAAACUACUUUUUUUUUAAUGAAAAUGAGGUUCCCAUUCACCAAAUAAUUAGGAAUAACGUAUGAAGGACUUUUUUGGACUGCGCCUGGAGGCAGGAAUAGAAACAGGAUCAAUCAUUCUUCGACUUGGAAAGUAAAGCUGAAUAAUACACACAUAGCAAUCC
Molecule: long non-coding RNA, 864 nt
Organism: Eupeodes corollae
Lineage: Eukaryota; Metazoa; Arthropoda; Insecta; Diptera; Syrphidae
Exons: 3
Source: RefSeq, a predicted model, not a curated record